GGGUUCGAUUCCGGAGAGGGAGCCUGAGAAACGGCUACCANNNNCAAGGAAGGCAGCAGGCGCGCAAAUUACCCAAUCCCAAUACGGGGAGGUAGUGACAAUAAAUAACAAUAUGGGGCUCUUACGGGUCUCGUAAUUGGAAUGAGUACAAUUUAAAUCUCUUAACGAGGAACAAUUGGAGGGCAAGUCUGGUGCCAGCAGCCGCGGUAAUUCCAGCUCCAAUAGCGUAUAUUAAAGUUGUUGCAGUUAAAAAGCUCGUAGUUGAAUUUCGGAGUUUGUCGGUUGGUCGGGCUUCACUGUCCGCACUGGCCUGAUGGAUUCCUACCUUCUGAAUAACCAGCAUGCUAUUAAGUUAGUGCGUUGGGGAAGCAGAGCUAUUACCUUGAAAAAAUUAGAGUGCUUAAAGCAGGCUUAUGCUUGAAUAGAUUAGCAUGGAAUAAUAAAAUAGGACGGCAUGGUUCUAUUUUGUUGGUUUCUAGGAUCACCGUAAUGAUUAAUAGGGAUAGUUGGGGGCAUUAGUAUUCAAUUGUCAGAGGUGAAAUUCUUGGAUUUAUUGAAGACUAACUUCUGCGAAAGCAUUUGCCAAGGAUGUUUUCAUUAAUCAAGAACGAAAGUUAGGGGAUCGAAGACGAUCAGAUACCGUCGUAGUCUUAACCAUAAACUAUGCCGACUAGGGAUCGGACGAUGUUAAUUUUUUAAUGACUCGUUCGGCGCCUUACGGGAAACCAA
RNAcentral lists this ribosomal RNA (729 nucleotides) under uncultured Glomeromycotina. RNAcentral's name for it is "SSU rRNA". It matches the Rfam family "Eukaryotic small subunit ribosomal RNA", at positions 373 to 1101 of the family's 1831-position model. Lineage: Eukaryota; Fungi; Glomeromycota. The record is from RNAcentral.